ACACUGGAAAUGGGGCCGAGACAAUGUGCAUUCUUUUGUUCUGUUUUUUGUUUUUGGCUCAGAAACACGGAUUUGGAAGCUUCCCUCAUUCCUCCCACCAAAAGCCUUCAGAGCAGACUGAGCAUGACAGGGGAAACCAGUGCCUCGGGGACACCGGAGUGGAAAGGUAUCACUCCUGUCUUCUCCUGAUUCCUGCAUCAUUCCAGAAUAUGAAGGGGUUACAAACUUCAAGGUUUCAGUGUUUUGAAUGUCUUGGACAAAAAGUUGAGCUAGAAAACCUGUGAUUACAGGACCCAGCAUGACAGGAAUUCUCAAUGAUUCAUUUAAAAGUGGCAUAAAGUGUUACAUAUAUAUAUAUUUUAAAAGUCCUACAGGACAUGAAAGACAAUAAGUACAUCACAUGUAAAUAAGAUUAAGCAGCUCACCCUCUGCUUGCUUACUUGGCUCCAUGUCUCUACAGAAAGAAGAAGCCGAGCCAUGAAGAAGAUGGGGCCAAUCAGAACUGCUGGGAGUGUGUGUGUUUUGGGGGGGCUGGUGAGCAGCAUAGGAAAGGAACUGGGGAGAAAUGUCAGAUUAUGAAGGGAAAUUAAACAGCAUUACUUAUCCAUUCUUCCGCAUCCUGCUAAAGCAGGGGCCCGUUCCAGCCCAGCCCCCCUCCCCUGCCUCCCAGUGGGGGACCUGUCCCCCCAGCACUGUGAAGGCAGCCACUGCCUUUCAGACAAUGUGAAGCCAUAGCUGUUCCCUACCGAGAACACUUCACAAAUUUGAGGAACAGCCCUUAAAGUAUAGGUUUGGACAUUUCACAAAUUCCAAGGACAGUCUGAAGCAGGCCUCAACACGAGGGGCAGGGGAAACAGUUUUUACAAGCAGUUAACGCCCGGAGAGGCUCAGGGGUUCAGCCAAGGGGAAGACAAUGCUUCUUCCUUCAUGACAGCGCUUCCCAGACUUUCACGUGCCUGUGAUUCACUUGGCGUCUCAUCAAAGUGUAUUAGGUUGAGGGUGAGGCCCAGACUCUGCAUUUGUAAUAAGCUCCUGUGGACCACUGAGGCGCUCCAAGGACACCC
Balaenoptera ricei (Rice's whale) is the source of this 1064-nucleotide long non-coding RNA. RefSeq lists it as uncharacterized. The transcript has 3 exons. NCBI's taxonomy places the organism in Eukaryota, Metazoa, Chordata, Mammalia, Artiodactyla, Balaenopteridae. The record is from RefSeq and is a predicted model, not a curated record.